CUCGAAAGCCGGCCUUUGCCCACUUUGGCAAACACGAAAAAAGUCAUUUGAAGUAAGCUAUUGUCUAUGAAGCAAUCUCACUGGUUGCUAUGCGUGGCAAAGCAACCAAUCGAGGAUUUUACUGUGUUUACAAAGCACUCAUCUAAACACGAGGGGGGCUAGGAGAAUUUUUGCCGAGUAGCAGUCGAGGGUUUGCAUAACUAUUGAGAAUUCUCCCAAUCCGCGAGUGUUCUGUCUAGAUGAGGCUAUGUAAACACGCGAAAAAGUCCACUGUACUAUUGGAUCCAUAGAGUAUUUCUCGAAACAUAGAAAAAUAACCAUGUUUACAUGCUCUCACGUUAAAACACCUAUCGACCAAUGAGAGCGCGCGUACUAUCUUAAAUAUUUUAUAAUCAAUGAUCUCAUGGGAGCCAUCGAUGUCAUCGAUUAGUCACGUUUGUAAAGAAGGAUCUAUCGUUUCUAAUUUGAGAACCAGUAUUCUACUGGGUUGCCGUGCGAGGUUCAGUGGCCAAAACUUGUAUCCGCUUAAUUCUCUGGUGUGGAUCACUUAGAACACUGAUUUGGGACCAAUAUUCAUUCCUGUUCUUUUCCACAGCUCCUGAUACAAUGAAACUCAUUCAAGUUGCUGCCUUUGUCUUCCUGCUCCUGGUGUCCACUAUCCCUGAAGAAACCGAAGCCGCAGGGGGAAAUAUCCCACUUAGUUGGUUUAAAAGAAUAGCAACAAAACUCGCUGUAAAACUUAUAGUGAAUUCCUUUUACGCCCGCUGCAACUGUCGCAAUGUUCCCGCUGGGAUAAACUGUCCAGGAGUUGUCUUUGGCGUGGGCAGGACACGCAAUGAAGCGCAGAACGCAGCGAGAGCGUAUGCAAAUACAUUUGGAGAUAACAGAUGUGGCACCUACGUCGGACAUUGUCAAAUUUAUCAAUUUAAAGGACGCGGAAAGUAAACCGAGACAACGAAACGAAAAACGUAGAUGAAUUAGAACUACUGGCCAAUGUGCGGAAAAGAAAGCUGGUUUAUUAAUUAAGUAAAUCGUAAAAUCGAUAAAGGCACGUUUUCGAAAUUUGCGUGCUGUUUGUAGAACGAAACUGUGAGUUUUCAUCUCGGUCCUUUUUAAUCAAACUGUAAUGGCUAUGUAAGGGUUAAUAGAUUAAAAUAGGAAAUUUGUUGA
Molecule: long non-coding RNA, 1170 nt
Organism: Orbicella faveolata
Lineage: Eukaryota; Metazoa; Cnidaria; Anthozoa; Scleractinia; Merulinidae
Source: RefSeq, a predicted model, not a curated record